ACGGAGGGUCCAAGCGUUAUCCGGAAUCAUUGGGUUUAAAGGGUCCGUAGGCGGGCUAUUAAGUCAGAGGUGAAAGUUUGCAGCUCAACUGUAAAAUUGCCUUUGAUACUGGUAGUCUUGAGUUAUAGUGAAGUGGUUAGAAUAUGUGGUGUAGCGGUGAAAUGCAUAGAUAUCACAUAGAAUACCAAUUGCGAAGGCAGAUCACUAACUAUAUACUGACGCUGAUGGACGAAAGCGUGGGGAGCGAACGGG
This 252-nucleotide ribosomal RNA is filed under the name uncultured bacterium. Its description in RNAcentral is "partial 16S ribosomal RNA". It matches the Rfam family "Bacterial small subunit ribosomal RNA", at positions 525 to 776 of the family's 1533-position model. The record is from RNAcentral.